This 227-nucleotide ribosomal RNA is filed under the name uncultured bacterium. Its description in RNAcentral is "partial 16S ribosomal RNA". It matches the Rfam family "Bacterial small subunit ribosomal RNA", at positions 524 to 749 of the family's 1533-position model. The record is from RNAcentral.
UACGUAGGGGGGCAAGCGUUGUCCGGAUUUAUUGGGCGUAAAGAGCGUGUAGGCGGCCGUACAGGUCAGCUGUGAAAACUCGAGGCUCAACCUCGAGACGUCGGUUGAAACCGUACGGCUAGAGUCCGGAAGAGGAGAGUGGAAUUCCCGGUGUAGCGGUGAAAUGCGCAGAUAUCGGGAAGAACACCCGUGGCGAAGGCGGCUCUCUGGGACGGUACUGACGCUGA